AUACGUAGGGGGCGAGCGUUGUCCGGAAUGAUUGGGCGUAAAGGGCGCGUAGGCGGCCCGGUAAGUCUGGAGUGAAAGUCCUGUUUUUAAGAUGGGAAUUGCUUUGGAUACUGUCGGGCUUGAGUGCAGGAGAGGUAAGUGGAAUUCCCAGGGUAGCGGUGAAAUGCGUAGAGAUUGGGAGGAACACCAGUGGCGAAGGCGACUUACUGGACUGUAACUGACGCUGAGGCGCGAAAGUGUGGGGAGCAAACAGGAUUAGAUACCCUGGUAGUCCACACUGUAAACGAUGAAUGCUAGGUGUAGGGGGUAUCGACCCCUUCUGUGCCGCAGUCAACACAAUAAGCAUUCCGCCUGGGGAGUACGGCCGCAAGGUUGAAACUCAAAUGAAUUGACGGGG
RNAcentral lists this ribosomal RNA (397 nucleotides) under uncultured bacterium. Its description in RNAcentral is "partial 16S ribosomal RNA". It matches the Rfam family "Bacterial small subunit ribosomal RNA", at positions 523 to 918 of the family's 1533-position model. The record is from RNAcentral.